UGGGGAAUUUUGGACAAUGGGCGCAAGCCUGAUCCAGCCAUGCCGCGUGAGUGAAGAAGGCCUUCGGGUUGUAAAGCUCUUUCAGACGGAAAGAAAUCUCUCAGGAUAAUACCUUGGGAGGAUGACGGUACCGUAAGAAGAAGCACCGGCUAACUACGUGCCAGCAGCCGCGGUAAUACGUAGGGUGCGAGCGUUAAUCGGAAUUACUGGGCGUAAAGCGUGCGCAGGCGGUUUAGUAAGACAGGCGUGAAAUCCCCGGGCUCAACCUGGGAACUGCGCUUGUGACUGCUAAGCUAGAGUACGGCAGAGGGGGAUGGAAUUCCGCGUGUAGCAGUGAAAUGCGUAGAUAUGCGGAGGAACACCGAUGGCGAAGGCAAUCCCCUGGACCUGUACUGACGCUCAUGCACGAAAGCGUGGGGAGCAAACA
RNAcentral lists this ribosomal RNA (427 nucleotides) under uncultured bacterium. RNAcentral's name for it is "bacterial SSU rRNA". It matches the Rfam family "Bacterial small subunit ribosomal RNA", at positions 355 to 774 of the family's 1533-position model. The record is from RNAcentral.